UCUGUGUGAUGCUUUUGCCGGGGACAGAACAGGAAUAGAGUCUUAGAAUUUAUGUGCUGAAGAAGAAAGUCCAAGUGAUCAUCUCUGAAAUAAUCCCCCUAGCAAAGGAAGACAGAAGGCAAAAGAUUCUGGAAGUGAACCACUGGCUAGUCUCUCUGCCAUUUUAGCCACUGAUUUUUAUAUGGAAUGCCAGUAGCGUCCUCUCCCUGCCUGCACUUUCUGCUCUUGGAUAGUGGGCACUUGCACAUCUGCAGGGGAAAUGCAUGUAAUCAGAAGCAAGGGGGGGUAGGAAGAGCCACCUCCAGCAGGCAAGGAUAAUGAGAGUCUGAGAAGAGCUAAUGGGAGAGCUUAUAGAU
Long non-coding RNA from Dermochelys coriacea (leatherback sea turtle), 356 nucleotides. RefSeq lists it as uncharacterized. The record is from RefSeq and is a predicted model, not a curated record. The transcript is spliced from 4 exons. Lineage: Eukaryota; Metazoa; Chordata; Testudines; Dermochelyidae.